Prunus persica (peach) is the source of this 916-nucleotide long non-coding RNA. RefSeq lists it as uncharacterized. The record is from RefSeq and is a predicted model, not a curated record. The transcript has 2 exons. NCBI's taxonomy places the organism in Eukaryota, Viridiplantae, Streptophyta, Magnoliopsida, Rosales, Rosaceae.
UUUACCAAUUAAACCAACCCUCGUUGUCAAGAUCCCCACAAAGUUGUUGGUUGCAAGUCCAAUAUUAAUCAUCCAUGCUGUAGUGGCUUAGGGUCUGCAAUUUAGGGUAUUGCAAUUGAUGAGCUGUUUGCUAUUAUAAAUUUGGGAAGGCCUCAAACUCUAAUUUUUUUUUCUUUUUUUUUUUCUCAAUUCUUCUAUAUGAUAUGUGAUCCAUCUAUAACAGAGAAUUGACAAAAGGCCAAAAAAAAAAAAAAAAAAAAAAAAAAAAAAAAACAGAAAAGACAAAAAAUUGAAUUCUGGUAUGUUACAGUUUAUGGACAUCGCAAAGCAAAUUGACUUCUUGGUCUCUUUCCGUGGUCAAGGCAAAAGCUCUCUGCGUCGUCUUUCCUUGCUCUGCCUGAGCCUCCGCGUUGUAUUCCAAAAGGCGUAGCUCUCUCUCUCUUUCAGGGAAAUUUGCAAGCAAAGGUCCGAGGAAAUGGUGGUUUGCUUUCCGUCCACGCCCAAGAGGUUGGCUAUGACAAUAGGAUGCUUCAUUUCUGCUGCUGCUCUUUUUGCUUUUGGUGCUCAUAUCUCUUAUGUCAAUGUUGCCCCGCAACAAGCUCGAACCAAAGCUCGAAAUGAGUUUGUGAGAGAACGGCUGAAACAGAAGUAUGGCAAAUGAUAGAAAACGCAGUAUUGGCAUAUCGCAGUUGGGUUUUCGGAUUGCAUGCCGUUGAAAGAAAAGAGACGAUUGUAAAUUUUAUGAUCAUACCAUUCAGUGAUGAACAUCCUGCUCUUGUUUUUCUUUUCUUUUUUUCUUUUUGUUUACAUUGUACGACAUACAACAGGGAUGAUAAAUAAUUUUGAUGGCCAUGAUUUGAUUGCAUUUGGAUGCAAUUGAUAGGUUUGAGAAUCAUACUUGAAUCUGCGUUUUAAA